AGAGUUUGAUCAUGGCUCAGAAUGAACGCUGGCGGCGUGCCUAAGACAUGCAAGUCGUACGUGAAAGUUAGCAAUAAUGAGUAAAGUGGCGCACGGGUGAGUAAUACUUGGGUAAUGUGCCUUUCCGCUGGGGAUAACCGGGCGAAAGCUCGGCUAAUACCGAAUAGUUCAAUCAUUAGCUUCGGCGAGGAUUGAUAAAGCCGUAAGGCGCGGAAAGAGUGGCCCAAGUCCCAUUAGCUAGUUGGUAGGGUAAUGGCCUACCAAGGCUACGAUGGGUAGCUGGUCUGAGAGGACGAUCAGCCACACUGGUACUGGAACACGGACCAGACUCCUACGGGAGGCAGCAGUUAGGAAUUUUGCGCAAUGGACGAAAGUCUGACGCAGCAACGCCGCGUGAGGGAUGAAGGCCUUCGGGUUGUAAACCUCUUUCGACAGGGAAGAAAUAAAUGACGGUACCUGUAUAAGAAGCACCGGCUAACUCUGUGCCAGCAGCCGCGGUAAUACAGAGGGUGCAAGCGUUAUUCGGAAUUACUGGGCGUAAAGAGCACGUAGGCUGUUUAAUAAGUCCGAUGUGAAAGCCCUGGACCCAAUCCAGGAAGUGCAUCGGAUACUGUUAGACUAGAAUAUAGGAGGGGAGAGUGGAAUUUCUGGUGUAGAGGUGAAAUUCGUAGAUAUCAGAAGGAACAACAGUGGCGAAGGCGACUCUCUGGACUAUUAUUGACGCUGAGGUGCGAAAGCGUGGGGAGCAAACAGGAUUAGAUACCCUAGUAGUCC
Molecule: ribosomal RNA, 774 nt
Filed under: uncultured bacterium
Lineage: Bacteria
Description: bacterial SSU rRNA
Rfam family: Bacterial small subunit ribosomal RNA
Source: RNAcentral